Molecule: ribosomal RNA, 329 nt
Filed under: uncultured bacterium
Lineage: Bacteria
Description: bacterial SSU rRNA
Rfam family: Bacterial small subunit ribosomal RNA
Source: RNAcentral
AUUUGACGUUAGCUGCAGAAGAAGCUACCGGCUAACUCCGUGCCAGCAGCCGCGGUAAUACGGAGGGUGCGAGCGUUAAUCGGAAUUACUGGGCGUAAAGCGCAUGCAGGUGGUUUGUUAAGUCAGAUGUGAAAGCCCGGGGCUCAACCUCGGAAUUGCAUUUGAAACUGGCAAACUAGAGUACUGUAGAGGGGGUAGAAUUUCAGGUGUAGCGGUGAAAAUGCGUAGAGAUCUGAAGGAAUACCGGUGGCGAAGGCGGCCCCCUGGACAGAUACUGACACUCAGAUGCGAAAGCGUGGGGAGCAAACAGGAUUAGAUACCCCUGGUAG